CCCUUCGAUGUUCCCGGCCGCACCUGUGCUACAAUGGUAGAGUCAACGAGUUGAAUGGCGGUCGUUGAUACGCUCAUGACCGCCAACCAGGAACUUUUUCUUUGAAAAGAUUCUCGGUAAUCUGGUGCAACUCUGCCGUGCUUGGGAUAGAGCGUUUGUAAUUCUGGCUCUUGAACGAGGAAUCCCUAGUAGGCAUUACGUCAUUAUCGUGUGCCGAUUACGUCCCUGCUCUUUGUACACACCGCCCGUCGCUACUACCGAUUGAAUGAUCUUGUGAGAAUGACUGUUCCCGUACGCCCUUUACGGGCGGUCGGUUUUUAAUUAAGUCACGUCAAACAAGAUUAUUUAGAGGAAGUAAAAGUCGUAACA
RNAcentral lists this ribosomal RNA (369 nucleotides) under uncultured eukaryote. RNAcentral's name for it is "partial 18S ribosomal RNA". It matches the Rfam family "Eukaryotic small subunit ribosomal RNA", at positions 1470 to 1796 of the family's 1831-position model. The record is from RNAcentral.